UUUUGACCUCGGAUCAGGUAGGGAUACCCGCUGAACUUAAGCAUAUCAAUAAGGCGGAGGAAG
This 63-nucleotide ribosomal RNA is filed under the name Alternaria tenuissima. Its description in RNAcentral is "partial 28S ribosomal RNA". Lineage: Eukaryota; Fungi; Ascomycota; Dothideomycetes; Pleosporales; Pleosporaceae. The record is from RNAcentral.